RNAcentral lists this long non-coding RNA (1184 nucleotides) under Homo sapiens (human). RNAcentral describes it as "non-protein coding lnc-POU3F3-7:7". Lineage: Eukaryota; Metazoa; Chordata; Mammalia; Primates; Hominidae. The record is from RNAcentral.
GAGCGGCGGCAGCGAGCGGUCCGUCUCGCACGCGCGGGCACCGCGCUGGUCCUGGGCUGCAGGUUUCCCAGAUGAUGGCAUCCGAGAACUUAAACAAAGGGGGCUGCCGCCGGCGCGCAACGGCUGCGGAAAGUUGCGGUGGCGGAUUUCCAAGGAGCGUGGCCACGACCAGAGCUCUUGGCGAUGCGAGCCCCCGCUUCCCACCCCCGCCGAUCAGAGAAGGGGGCCGGCUGGUGAAGGGAAGAGGAAACUUUGAAACCACUGGGGACACAUCUGUCUAUAGGUAUUAGCUUGAAUGGUACAUCCGUGCCGCGCGCUUUACAAAUCUCUGGCGGGGCGGGGGUAAGGGGGUGAGCAACCCGACGCGUACUAGGUGGGGUGGGCAGGUUGCUAUUUUUCAUGUUUCCCCCUUCGUUUUCCUUCUGAUUCUCUUCCCCCCUCUCGUCCCUCCCUCCCUUUUAUCUCCCCUUUCUUCCCCCCGCCCAGACCUAUUGCGAACGCCCAGAGCCGCCGAGGGAACGCCAACGUCUGGGCCGGACACUAAGAACAACUGCUGGGAAAAAAAUAAAACACCAACCCCAACCGUCAGCAACAAGGUAACAGAGCGAUUCGACAUCAUUUUUUUUCCUGUUCAAUUUUUUCCUUGUUAUAUUUGUUUCCUAAUUUCUGCCCAAAAGGAAAGAUGUCGCAUCAGACUGUGACUGUUGCGAGGAGAAUGAAAAAGGACUCUUGUUUCAGAGGCAACCAAGAGCUCCGGCAAUAGCAACUUCAGAGAAAUGCACCAUCGCAAGAAGUUUUCCUAGGACAGAACAAAACUUGAAACGAGAGGACCAGAGGGGGAGAGCAGGAGCCAGCCUCCCCUCUCCGCACUCGCGAGCAGCCAGCAGCACCACGCCUUCAAGGACGAAAAAGUUUUACUACUCUAAGGGAAAACGAGUGAAAUGUGUUCCUGAGGAGGAGAGGAGAGGAGAGGAGAGAGCGGACAAGAGAAGGAGCGGGCCGGUUGCUGGUCAUCCGUAAUUUGGCUAAGGAAGAAAGGAGCAGCUUCUUUCUUUGUUAUCUCCCGUGAAACCUUCACUUAGCAGGUGGACGGAGCCCCGCGACCGGGCAGAGUCCGGGCUCGCCCGAGGACAGGAGGAGGAGCGGGAGCCCGCGCGUCCCGGGAGAGCGCCCCGAGUGCAGGU